Molecule: small RNA, 47 nt
Filed under: Arabidopsis thaliana (thale cress)
Lineage: Eukaryota; Viridiplantae; Streptophyta; Magnoliopsida; Brassicales; Brassicaceae
Description: ATSL210850
Source: RNAcentral
GCAUUAGCUUCUUCCACCGUUGCAGAAACAGCAAAAGAACAACUCAA